GCCCUGCUGGCGUAGUGGUAGCGCGUCUCACUUGUAAUGAGAAGGUCACUAGUUCAAUCCUGGUGUGGGGCA
RNAcentral lists this transfer RNA (72 nucleotides) under Leucocoprinus leucothites. RNAcentral's name for it is "Leucoagaricus leucothites tRNA". It matches the Rfam family "tRNA". From Rfam's summary of the family: Transfer RNA (tRNA) molecules are approximately 80 nucleotides in length. Their secondary structure includes four short double-helical elements and three loops (D, anti-codon, and T loops). RNAcentral also lists the same sequence under 2 other names. Lineage: Eukaryota; Fungi; Basidiomycota; Agaricomycetes; Agaricales; Agaricaceae. The record is from Rfam by way of RNAcentral.